RNAcentral lists this unclassified non-coding RNA (323 nucleotides) under uncultured fungus. Its description in RNAcentral is "partial contains 5.8S ribosomal RNA and internal transcribed spacer 2". The stretch from base 1 to 133 matches the Rfam family "5.8S ribosomal RNA", at positions 22 to 154 of the family's 154-position model. Lineage: Eukaryota; Fungi. The record is from RNAcentral.
UGGUUCUGGCAUNGAUGAAGAACGCAGCGAAAUGCGAUAAGUAGUGUGAAUUGCAGAAUUCAGUGAAUCAUCGAAUCUUUGAACGCACAUUGCGCCCUUUGGUAUUCCUUAGGGCAUGCCUGUUCGAGCGUCAUUUCAAACUUCAAGCCCCUCUCAUGGCUUGGUGUUGGGCGUCUGUCCCCCGGGACUCGCCUCAAAUGCAUUGGCAGCCGGUACGUUGGCUUCGAGCGCAGCAGAAACGCGCGCGGCGUCCGACGGUGCCUGGCUCUCCAGGAAGCCUCCACCCCAAGUUUGACCUCGGAUCAGGUAGGGAUACCCGCUGA